UACAGAAGUCCCAAGCGUUGUUCGGAUUCACUGGGCGUAAAGGGUGCGUAGGUGGUUAGGUAAGUCUAAUGUGAAAUCUCCGAGCUUAACACGGAAACUGCAUCGGAUACUAUCUAGCUUGAGGGUUGGAGGGUGGACUGGAAUACUUGGUGUAGCAGUGAAAUGCGUAGAUAUCAAGUGGAACACCAGUGGCGAAGGCGAGUCCCUGGACAACUCCUGACACUGAGGCACGAAAGCUAGGGGGGCAAACAGG
RNAcentral lists this ribosomal RNA (253 nucleotides) under uncultured bacterium. Its description in RNAcentral is "partial 16S ribosomal RNA". It matches the Rfam family "Bacterial small subunit ribosomal RNA", at positions 524 to 776 of the family's 1533-position model. The record is from RNAcentral.